RNAcentral lists this ribosomal RNA (253 nucleotides) under uncultured bacterium. RNAcentral describes it as "partial 16S ribosomal RNA". It matches the Rfam family "Bacterial small subunit ribosomal RNA", at positions 524 to 776 of the family's 1533-position model. The record is from RNAcentral.
GACAGAGGUGGCAAGCGUUGUCCGGACUGACUGGGCGUACAGCGCACGCAGGUGGCAGCGCGAGUGCGGUGUGAAAGCCCCCGGCUUAACCGGGGGUCGCCAUCGCAGACUGCGCCGCUCGAGCGAUGCAGAGGUCGGUGGAAUUGCCGGUGUAGUGGUGAAAUGCGUAGAGAUCGGCAGGAACACCAAAGGUGAAAACAGGUUGCUGGGGAUGUACUGACGCUGAGACACGAAAGCCAGGGGAGCAAACGGG